This 348-nucleotide ribosomal RNA is filed under the name uncultured fungus. RNAcentral describes it as "SSU rRNA". It matches the Rfam family "Eukaryotic small subunit ribosomal RNA", at positions 20 to 370 of the family's 1831-position model. Lineage: Eukaryota; Fungi. The record is from RNAcentral.
GUAGUCAUAUGCUUGUCUCAAAGAUUAAGCCAUGCAUGUCUAAGUAUAAGCAACUUGUACAGUGAAACUGCGAAUGGCUCAUUAAAUCAGCUAUCGUUUAUUUGAUAAUCCCUUACUACAUGGAUACCUGUGGUAAUUCUAGAGCUAAUACAUGCUUCAAGGAGUGGCUUUCGUCACUCUGCACUUAUUAGAUAAAAAACCAAUGCCCCUUUGGGGCUCCCUGGUGAUUCAUGAUAAUUUAGCGGACCGCAUUCCCUCGAGGAGGCGGUGGAUCAUUCAAAUUUCUGCCCUAUCAACUUUCGAUGGUAGGACAGUGGCCUACCAUGGUUUCAACGGGUAACGGGGAAU